RNAcentral lists this ribosomal RNA (851 nucleotides) under uncultured bacterium. RNAcentral's name for it is "bacterial SSU rRNA". It matches the Rfam family "Bacterial small subunit ribosomal RNA", at positions 1 to 849 of the family's 1533-position model. The record is from RNAcentral.
CCUUAGAGUUUGAUCAUGGCUCAGAUUGAACGCUGGCGGCAUGCCUUACACAUGCAAGUCGAACGGCAGCACGGGGGCAACCCUGGUGGCGAGUGGCGAACGGGUGAGUAAUACAUCGGAACGUGUCCAGUUGUGGGGGAUAACCAGUCGAAAGACUGGCUAAUACCGCAUGAGCCCGAAAGGGGAAAGCGGGGGACCGCAAGGCCUCGCGCGACUGGAGCGGCCGAUGUCCGAUUAGCUAGUUGGUGAGGUAACGGCUCACCAAGGCGACGAUCGGUAGCUGGUCUGAGAGGACGACCAGCCACACUGGGACUGAGACACGGCCCAGACUCCUACGGGAGGCAGCAGUGGGGAAUUUUGGACAAUGGGCGCAAGCCUGAUCCAGCCAUGCCGCGUGUGUGAUGAAGGCCUUCGGGUUGUAAAGCACUUUCGGACGGAACGAAAUCGCGUGGGCGAAUAUCCCGCGUGGAUGACGGUACCGUAAGAAGAAGCACCGGCUAACUACGUGCCAGCAGCCGCGGUAAUACGUAGGGUGCGAGCGUUAAUCGGAAUUACUGGGCGUAAAGGGUGCGCAGGCGGCUCCGCAAGUCAGACGUGAAAUCCCCGGGCUCAACUUGGGAAUGGCGUUUGAAACUAUGGGGCUAGAGUGUGGCAGAGGGAGGUGGAAUUCCACGUGUAGCGGUGAAAUGCGUAGAUAUGUGGAGGAACACCGAUGGCGAAGGCAGCCUCCUGGGCUAACACUGACGCUCAUGCACGAAAGCGUGGGGAACAAACAGGAUUAGAUACCCUGGUAGUCCACGCCCUAAACUAUGUCUACUAGUUGUUGGGGGAGUUAAAUCCCUUAGUAACGC